UCUUGGUCAAUUUAGAGGAAGUAAAAGUCGUAACAAGGUUUCCGUAGGUGAACCUGCGGAAGGAUCAUUAUUGAAAUAAACCUGAUGGGUUGUUGCUGGCUCUCUAGGGAGCAUGUGCACGCCUUGUCAUCUUUAUAUCUCCACCUGUGCACUUUUUGUAGACCUUUCAGGUCUAUGUUGCUUCAUUCUACCCCAAUGUAUGUUAAUAGAAUGUUGUGCCUAUAUAAUAUAUACAACUUUCAGCAACGGAUCUCUUGGCUCUCGCAUCGAUGAAGAACGCAGCGAAAUGCGAUAAGUAAUGUGAAUUGCAGAAUUCAGUGAAUCAUCGAAUCUUUGAACGCACCUUGCGCUCCUUGGUAUUCCGAGGAGCAUGCCUGUUUGAGUGUCAUUAAUAUAUAUCAACCUUCUCCUUGUUGAGAGGUGUUUGGAUGUGGGGGUUUGCUGGCCUCUUAAAAAGGUUCAGCUCCUCUGAAAUGCAUUAGCAGAACAACCCGUUCAUUGGCGUGAUAACUAUCUACGCUAUUGAAUGUGAUGGGGCAGUUCAGCUUUCUAACAGUCUUUGGACAAUUCAUCAUUAAUGUGACCUCAAAUCAGGUAGGACUACCCGCUGAACUUAAGCAUAUCAAUAAG
RNAcentral lists this ribosomal RNA (630 nucleotides) under uncultured Cortinarius. RNAcentral's name for it is "eukaryotic LSU rRNA". The stretch from base 235 to 388 matches the Rfam family "5.8S ribosomal RNA". The record is from RNAcentral. Lineage: Eukaryota; Fungi; Basidiomycota; Agaricomycetes; Agaricales; Cortinariaceae.